This 653-nucleotide small RNA is filed under the name Pan troglodytes (chimpanzee). RNAcentral's name for it is "retained intron". The record is from RNAcentral. Lineage: Eukaryota; Metazoa; Chordata; Mammalia; Primates; Hominidae.
GGCAUAGUACUAUUCAUUUUAAUUUUUUGGCCCAAAUCAUCUAAAACUCCCAUAUGGUGCCUUUAGAAGUUAGUAUCUCUGAUGGAAGGGGAAUUCCUUUCAAUAGUUCACUUGCUAUGAUAAGUGUGCAUAAGCUUUACUUUAAAAAUUGACUUCAAUGUUUUUCUAAAAACAUCUUUUGACUAGAUGUAGUAUUACCUAAUAAAAGUAAUACCAUUUUCUUUUUAAAGGAGAAAUAGCAUUAAUUUUGAAAGACUAGAAGCUCAACUGAAGGCAUGUCAUUGCAGGAUCAUAUUUUCUAAAGCAAAGGUAAAUAUUUUAUAAAGAUUAUGCCUAUUGAUAUGAUCUGUUUUUAUAUUUGGCAUUUACUUUAAAUUUAUCUCUUUUAGCCUUCUGUGUUGGCAUUGUCUAUCAUUGCAUUAGAGAUCCAAGCACAGAAGUGUGUAGAGUUAACAGAAGGAAUAGAAUGUCUUCAGAAACAUUCCAAGAUAAAUGGCAGAGAUCUGACCUUCUGGCAAGAGCUUGUAUCCAAGUGUUUAACAGAAUAUUCAUCAAAUAAGUGUUCCAAACCAAAUGUUCAGAAGUUGAAAUGGAUUGUUUCUGGGCGUACUGCACGGCAAUUGAAGCAUAGCUACUACAGAAUAACUCACCUU